RNAcentral lists this ribosomal RNA (253 nucleotides) under uncultured bacterium. Its description in RNAcentral is "partial 16S ribosomal RNA". It matches the Rfam family "Bacterial small subunit ribosomal RNA", at positions 524 to 776 of the family's 1533-position model. The record is from RNAcentral.
CACGUAGGGCGCGAGCGUUGUCCGGAAUUAUUGGGCGUAAAGAGCUCGUAGGCGGCCUGUUGCGUCCGCUGUGAAAACCCGCGGCUUAACUGCGGGCUUGCGGUUGAUACGGGCGGGCUAGAGUUCGGUAGGGGAGACUGGAAUUCCUGGUGUAGCGGUGGAAUGCGUAGAGAUCCGGAAGAACACCGGUGGCGAAGGCGGCCUGCUGGGACAGUGCUGACGCUGAGGCGCGACAGCGUGGGGAGCAAACAGG